UGACGAUACAGGACGCGUGUCACUGACUUUUUCUGGCUCCUCUUGCCUCUUCCGACGGCUGUCACAGAAUCCAAGUGUGACUAGGCCUUCGAAAGCGGCCGGGUUCAGCCAUACUAUGAGAACCAGGAAUCCUGUUCAUGCAUAAGGCUUUCCAAGCCUCAGAAGCAGUAUCAUGAUUUCGUACAUUGGUAAGUACUUUUUAUCUCAGUAUUGCAUAAAUCUUUGCAACAAAUUCAGGAUACUAAUGAUUCAGUUGAAAUGAUUCUGUUUGUGAUUUCCCUUCG
Penaeus indicus is the source of this 284-nucleotide long non-coding RNA. RefSeq lists it as uncharacterized. The record is from RefSeq and is a predicted model, not a curated record. Lineage: Eukaryota; Metazoa; Arthropoda; Malacostraca; Decapoda; Penaeidae. The transcript has 3 exons.